GAUGAACGCUGGCGGCGUGCCUAAUACAUGCAAGUCGAGCGAACAGACGAGGAGCUUGCUCCUCUGACGUUAGCGGCGGACGGGUGAGUAACACGUGGAUAACCUACCUAUAAGACUGGGAUAACUUCGGGAAACCGGAGCUAAUACCGGAUAAUAUAUUGAACCGCAUGGUUCAAUAGUGAAAGACGGCUUUGCUGUUACUUAUAGAUGGAUCCGCGCCGCAUUAGCUAGUUGGUAAGGUAACGGCUUACCAAGGCAACGAUGCGUAGCCGACCUGAGAGGGUGAUCGGCCACACUGGAACUGAGACACGGUCCAGACUCCUACGGGAGGCAGCAGUAGGGAAUCUUCCGCAAUGGGCGAAAGCCUGACGGAGCAACGCCGCGUGAGUGAUGAAGGUCUUCGGAUCGUAAAACUCUGUUAUUAGGGAAGAACAAAUGUGUAAGUAACUAUGCACGUCUUGACGGUACCUAAUCAGAAAGCCACGGCUAACUACGUG
This 497-nucleotide ribosomal RNA is filed under the name uncultured bacterium. RNAcentral describes it as "partial 16S ribosomal RNA". It matches the Rfam family "Bacterial small subunit ribosomal RNA", at positions 28 to 507 of the family's 1533-position model. The record is from RNAcentral.